CAAGAACUGUAAGCAAAAGAUACCAAUAAUCUGAACUAUCUACAGCCCCAUUUAAAAUAAAAAUUAUGAAGCAUUUUAUAAUUGAAAAUCUACAUUUGGAAGAAGGUUUAGUAGUUUGCUUCACCAAGCUCCUAACAAAGAGCUAAACACAACAUAACCAGUGUAUUACAGCUGAAAUAACACUUUUUGGUAGCAUUUUGCUAGGACUCCUCUUUCUUUUCUUCCAUCCCUUUUUCUCAAUUGUGUUCAUAUUCCUCAGACUACCUUUGAUGCAACAGCUUCCAAGUCAAGGCAUUUUUUCCUGCUUACUCCUGUCCUUUAUAGUAUUGUUAGACUUUCUCUUCCAGGUGUUUUCCUUUGGCUCCAAGGUGGUAUAUCCUCUCAGUUGCCUCUGGAUUUGUGAGAAAUGAAACUUAAGCACAGCAGAUCGAGAUGGUUGUGCUUUGAAAAGCAUGCAGAAAUGGGGCUACAGAAUGUGAUGCUGUGUCAACACAUUUCACUCAGGACUGCUUACAAGACAAAUUUUUGUUUCAACAUUGAUUCUAGUUUUCUUGAUGUUUGCUUCUAAUAAGAUUUCUACAACUAUUCCUGAAAUAGACAACUAUGUGCUGCGGGAAUCUUAACGCAGGUCUCUCUGGAAUAGAGUGGUUUACAGCUGAUGGAGAAAGCAACCUAUCAAGAACUUUCUCACAAUAUGAAAGAACAAAGUAAAGAAAUUGUAAAUGAACUUCAAUUUUCAGUCUACAGAGUGACACAUUACUUUUACAAAUAUAAAAAUAAGGUGAGAAGUGCAGAAGAAUAAGAAAUGGGAAAAAAACCUGCAAGAAUUUGAUUCACCAAUAUCUAACACUUUGAAGAAUUACUUUUUCAUUUGCGGCAUGAAUUCUAAUUACUUCUAACUAAGAAUAGUGCCAUUUUAUGCCACUCUGAAGGUGAUCACACAGGUAACAAAACAAGGUGGCUCAUUGAUUAAUAGCUGAUGAGGUGAUUUAUAUGCAUAACUAAUUCUUUUUUAUAGGAUUAAUGCAACUAAAUUGUAUUAGCACAUCAUAUCUAGAACUUGCUACACUGAGUGAAAUGCAAUAUUGGGUUGUGCUAGCACUCCUAUUCUAAAAUGGACCACAGGUGAUUUAAGCAAUCACACUUACUUCACAUCAAAGAACUACAACCAUAACGAAUAGUAAUUUCCAGCUGAGCUAGUGAAAACUUUCUAAACUUCCUAAACUGUUGUAACUGCUUAAUAACAUAUAAUUAACUUACGAGCCUUAGCACUCAUUUGAUUAUAGCCUUAGUCUACUUUGAAAAUUCAAUCAUUAUGUCUGGAAUAAACGGCAAUAUAAAUUCUACA
RNAcentral lists this long non-coding RNA (1348 nucleotides) under Struthio camelus australis. RNAcentral describes it as "lncRNA (ENSSCUG00000011179.1)". The record is from RNAcentral. Lineage: Eukaryota; Metazoa; Chordata; Aves; Struthioniformes; Struthionidae.